Molecule: ribosomal RNA, 155 nt
Filed under: Papiliotrema laurentii
Lineage: Eukaryota; Fungi; Basidiomycota; Tremellomycetes; Tremellales; Rhynchogastremaceae
Description: 5.8S ribosomal RNA
Rfam family: 5.8S ribosomal RNA
About the family: 5.8S ribosomal RNA (5.8S rRNA) is a component of the large subunit of the eukaryotic ribosome. It is transcribed by RNA polymerase I as part of the 45S precursor that also contains 18S and 28S rRNA.
Source: RNAcentral
AAACUUUUAACAACGGAUCUCUUGGCUCUCGCAUCGAUGAAGAACGCAGCGAAAUGCGAUAAGUAAUGUGAAUUGCAGAAUCAGUGAAUCAUCGAAUCUUUGAACGCACCUUGCGCCUUUUGGUAUUCCGAAAGGCAUGCCUGUUUCAGUGUCAU